Molecule: ribosomal RNA, 497 nt
Filed under: uncultured bacterium
Lineage: Bacteria
Description: partial 16S ribosomal RNA
Rfam family: Bacterial small subunit ribosomal RNA
Source: RNAcentral
GACGAACGCUGGCGGCGUGCCUUAUACAUGCAAGUUGAGCGCUGAAGGUUGGUACUUGUACCAACUGGAUGAGCAGCGAACGGGUGAGUAACGCGUGGGGAAUCUGCCUUUGGGCGGGGGACAACAUUUGGAAACGAAUGCUAAUACCGCAUAAAAACUUUAAACACAAGUUUUAAGUUUGAAAGAUGCAAUUGCAUCACUCAAAGAUGAUCCCGCGUUGUAUUAGCUAGUUGGUGAGGUAAAGGCUCACCAAGGCGAUGAUACAUAGCCGACCUGAGAGGGUGAUCGGCCACAUUGGGACUGAGACACGGCCCAAACUCCUACGGGAGGCAGCAGUAGGGGAUCUUCGGCAAUGGACGAAAGUCUGACCGAGCAACGCCGCGUGAGUGAAGAAGGUUUUCGGAUCGUAAAACUCUGUUGGUAGGGAAGAACGUUGGUGAGAGUGGAAAGCUCAUCAAGUGACGGUAACUACCCAGAAAGGGACGGCUAACUACGUG